Molecule: ribosomal RNA, 917 nt
Filed under: Naranjakotta sp. G STC-2019
Lineage: Eukaryota; Metazoa; Arthropoda; Insecta; Hemiptera; Miridae
Description: partial large subunit ribosomal RNA
Rfam family: Eukaryotic large subunit ribosomal RNA
Source: RNAcentral
AAUAGAUGAGAACCCUGGCUUUCUUAAACUAUGAAGCCAAGGGGUUUCGGAUCAGAGUGCCAAGUGGGCCAAUUUUGGUAAGCAGAACUGGCGCUGUGGGAUGAACCAAACGCGGAGUUAAGGCGCCUCAAUCGACGCUCAUGUGAGACCAUGAAAGGCGUUGGUUGCUUAAGACAGCAGGACGGUGGCCAUGGAAGUCGGAAUCCGCUAAGGAGUGUGUAACAACUCACCUGCCGAAGCAACUAGCCCUGAAAAUGGAUGGCGCUGUAGCGUCGUGCCUAUACUCCGCCGUCAACGGCAACGCAGGCAGUCCUCUCACGGGGACGGCGCUGUUAAGCCUUGACGAGUAAGAGGGCCGCGGCGAUGUGCGCAGAAGGGUUUUGGGCGUGAGCCUGCCUGGAGCCGUCGUCGGUGCAGAUCUUGGUGGUAGUAGCAAAUACUCCAGCGAGGCCCUGGAGGACUGAUGUGGAGAAGGGUUUCAUGUGAACAGCUGUUGCACAUGAGUCAGUCGAUCCUAAGCCCUAGGAGAAAUCCGAAGCGAUGGGUUGCCGUUAAACGUUAACAAGCUUGAUGUUGGCACCAUUUGGGCGAAAGGGAAUCUGGUUCCUAUUCCAGAACCUGGCAGUGGAACCGUUCCAAAUCGGGCCCUCAUUGAGGACUCGUCAGGGCAACCUGAAAGGACCCGGAGACGCCGUCGGGAGAUUCAGGGAGAGUUGUCUCUUCUCUAUAAGCGAUCGAGUUCCCUGGAAACCUCUAGCAGGGAGAUAGGGUUUGGAUCGCGAAGAGCACCGCAGUUACGGCGGUGUCUGAAUCUUCCCCACGGACCUUGAAAAUCCGGGGAGAGGGCCACGAGGAACCCCACGCCAGAUCGUACCCAUAUCCGCAGCAGGUCUCCAAGGUGAAAAGCCUCUAGUCGA